GACGAACGCUGGCGGCGUGCUUAACACAUGCAAGUCGAGCGGUAAGGCCCUUUCGGGGUACGACGAGCGGCGAACGGGUAGAGUAACAACGUGGGUGGACCUCGCCCUCCAGCUCUGGGAGUAAGACCUCGGGAAACCGGGGUACCGUAAUAACUGGAUAUGACUCCAUGACGCAUGUUGUGGGGUGGAAAGCCUUGUGCGGCUGAGGAUGGGCCCGCGGCCUAUCAGCUUGUUGGUGGGGUGAGGCCUACCAAGGCGACGACGGGUAGCCGGCCUGAGAGGGCGACCGGCCACACUGGGACUGAGACACGGCCCAGACUCCUACGGGAGGCAGCAGUGGGGAAUCUUGCGCAAUGGGCGAAAGCCUGACGCAGCGACGCCGCGUGAGGGA
This 391-nucleotide ribosomal RNA is filed under the name uncultured bacterium. Its description in RNAcentral is "bacterial SSU rRNA". It matches the Rfam family "Bacterial small subunit ribosomal RNA", at positions 28 to 408 of the family's 1533-position model. The record is from RNAcentral.